GUGAACGCCCUCACGGGCUUAUACUAUUCCAAACCUCUGUGAACCGUGCCCUUCGGGGCUAUUUUACAACAUGGUGUAAUGAACGUCAUAUAUCAUAACAAAACA
Molecule: unclassified non-coding RNA, 105 nt
Filed under: soil metagenome
Description: partial internal transcribed spacer 1
Source: RNAcentral